AUUGAACGCUGGCGGCAGGCCUAACACAUGCAAGUCGAACGGUAGCACAGAGAGCUUGCCCUCGGGUGACGAGUGGCGGACGGGUGAGUAAUGUCUGGGAAACUGCCCGAUGGAGGGGGAUAACUACUGGAAACGGUAGCUAGUACCGCAUAACGUCUUCGGACCAAAGUGGGGGACCUUCGGGCCUCACACCAUCGGAUGUGCCCAGAUGGGAUUAGCUAGUAGGUGGGGUAAUGGCUCACCUAGGCGACGAUCCCUAGCUGGUCUGAGAGGAUGACCAGCCACACUGGAACUGAGACACGGUCCAGACUCCUACGGGAGGCAGCAGUGGGGAAUAUUGCACAAUGGGCGCAAGCCUGAUGCAGCCAUGCCGCGUGUAUGAAGAAGGCCUUCGGGUUGUAAAGUACUUUCAGCGGGGAGGAAGGCGUUAAGGUUAAUAACCUUGGCGAUUGACGUUACCCGCAGAAGAAGCACCGGCUAACUCCGUGCCAGCCGCCGCGGUAA
Molecule: ribosomal RNA, 504 nt
Filed under: uncultured bacterium
Lineage: Bacteria
Description: partial 16S ribosomal RNA
Rfam family: Bacterial small subunit ribosomal RNA
Source: RNAcentral